This 448-nucleotide unclassified non-coding RNA is filed under the name uncultured Glomus. RNAcentral's name for it is "SSU rRNA". It matches the Rfam family "Eukaryotic small subunit ribosomal RNA", at positions 569 to 1018 of the family's 1831-position model. The record is from RNAcentral. Lineage: Eukaryota; Fungi; Glomeromycota; Glomeromycetes; Glomerales; Glomeraceae.
AGCAGCCGCGGUAAUUCCAGCUCCAAUAGCGUAUAUUAAAGUUGUUGCAGUUAAAAGCUCGUAGUUGAAUUUCGGGAUUGACACAUCGGUCGUGCCUUAAGGGGUAUGAACUGGUGUAGUCAAUUUCUCACCUUCUGGAGAACCGCGAUGCCCUUAAUUGGGUGUCGCGGGGAACCAGGACCUUUACUUUGAAAAAUUAGAGUGUUUAAAGCAGGCAUUUUGCUUGAAUACAUUAGCAUGGAAUAAUAAAAUAGGACGGCAUGAUUCUAUUUUGUUGGUUUCUAGGAUCACCGUAAUGAUUAAUAGGGAUAGUUGGGGGCAUUAGUAUUCAAUUGUCAGAGGUGAAAUUCUUGGAUUUAUUGAAGACUAACUACUGCGAAAGCAUUUGCCAAGGAUGUUUUCAUUAAUCAAGAACGAAAGUUAGGGAUCGAAGACGAUCAGAUACCGU